GGCAAGGUAGCCAAGCGGUCUAAGGCGCCAGGUUCAGGACCACCUGAAUUCUAUGAUUCCUCCAAAAAGACAAUCUUCCUGGUCUCAGUAAUGGGGCGUGGGUUCGAAUCCCACCCUUGUCA
Non-coding RNA from Lasiosphaeria ovina, 122 nucleotides. Lineage: Eukaryota; Fungi; Ascomycota; Sordariomycetes; Sordariales; Lasiosphaeriaceae. The record is from the annotation of a GenBank genome assembly.